This 973-nucleotide long non-coding RNA is filed under the name Mus musculus (house mouse). RNAcentral describes it as "RIKEN cDNA 5430425K12 gene". Lineage: Eukaryota; Metazoa; Chordata; Mammalia; Rodentia; Muridae. The record is from RNAcentral.
AUUCUGGAGGCAUCAGGCCAGGCCAGGGACUGCCCUGCCCUGACCCUUGCCUGGCUCUCCAGAGCCAAGGCGUUCACAGCUUGAGUUGGUUUGGCCUAAGACUCUUGAGAACAUUACAGAUUAAAUUUCAAGUGUUUCGUUUCCUAGCAAAGAGUCUUUAGCAACAUAAAAACGAGCAUGUGUUAUUUGCAAACCAUCUGAACCAUUACUCAACCUGAAUGUUCCUAAGUUUUUGCAAGAUGGGUAGGCAGAAGCACACUGGAGAUAAAGGCCUGGUUCAGUACCACACAUUUCAGUCACCAAAUGAGAAACAAUGGCUGCCAGUCUUCACACCCUUCAACAAUAAAGAGCUUUCAAGCUCUUGCUGUCAACAAGAGUUCUGGAAUGAUUACACUGGCUGAAAGACACAACGUAUCCACCCUUCCCACCCAUGGAUUCUUCAUCUAAACUCAAGCAAACCAAGACGGACAGCAUUAAGAAAUGAACCUGUCCCUGUAUGUGCAAACAAUUACCCUAUCAUGCUCCAAACAAUGUGCUAUAAUAACUGUAGCAUACUACCAGCGGUUAAAACUAACCUAGAGCAGACGAGAGAGCAUGUGCACACUACAUGCAAUACUAUUGUGCUUAUACAAGGGUCCUGAGCUUCUGAGGAUUUGAGCAUCAUAAAUAGAUAUCUGCUGAUAAAUAUCAUGCUUGUACUCACAGAACCGGAGAGGUCUCAGGAGGAUUAGGAGUUCAAGGCUGGCCUAGGCUACAUGAGUCCUUGUCUCAUAAAACAAAACAACUCAAAAUCAAUCCGAAACUAAGGGGAUCACCUAUCUGGCUCUAAGCAUAAGAGAUAAAAAUAAAACAAUGUUUCAGAAAAGAAGUGUCUAGAAGAAAAAAAUUAAAUAUAGCUAUUUUAAAAUAUUUUUAAAGGGAUUUCUUUUUUUGCACAGCAAAAUAAAAGCCAAAUUAUUUUUCCUUAAGUAGU